AUGACUCUGAUAUGGAUCACAGUCUUUAUUCUUCAUCAAGGAUAUGCCUUAGUUCCUGUGGUCACUGUUCAGCUUGGCGAACCUGUAACUUUUACUUGUGCAAAUAUGGAGUCCAGAGCAUGGAUUCACUGGUACAAGCAAACUUCUGGAGAUACUCUGAAAAUGAUUGUAAAGGAUAUAAACAAACUAAAUCCCAAUUAUAGCCCAGAAUUCCCUUCUUCAAGAUUCAAAUUUACAAAUGAUGGUAAAAUAAUUAACCUCACAAUUCUGAAGACAGUUCAACAAGACGAGGGAAUGUAUCACUGUGCUCUUACAGACUGGGGAGAGUCUACUUGGAUGGGGACGUAUUUGAUGGUAAAAGGAAACUCAAAGAAGACAUCCAGCUACACUGUUGUUCAGCAGUCAACAGCCCCAGAGAUC
Long non-coding RNA from Cyprinodon tularosa, 420 nucleotides. RefSeq lists it as uncharacterized. The record is from RefSeq and is a predicted model, not a curated record. The transcript has 3 exons. Lineage: Eukaryota; Metazoa; Chordata; Actinopteri; Cyprinodontiformes; Cyprinodontidae.